Molecule: transfer RNA, 60 nt
Filed under: Chattonella subsalsa
Lineage: Eukaryota; Raphidophyceae; Chattonellales; Chattonellaceae
Description: partial tRNA
Rfam family: tRNA
About the family: Transfer RNA (tRNA) molecules are approximately 80 nucleotides in length. Their secondary structure includes four short double-helical elements and three loops (D, anti-codon, and T loops).
Source: RNAcentral
CGUGAUGGCUUAGACGGUAGAGCGUUGGACUAGUGGUUCAAAGGUCACGGGUUCAAUUCC